AGGGAAUCUUCGGCAAUGGGCGAAAGCCUGACCGAGCAACGCCGCGUGAGUGAGGAAGGUCUUCGGAUUGUAAAACUCUGUUGUGAGGGAAGAACAAGUACCGUUUGAAUAAGGCGGUACCUUGACGGUACCUCACGAGAAAGCCCCGGCUAACUACGUGCCAGCAGCCGCGGUAAUACGUAGGGGGCAAGCGUUGUCCGGAAUUAUUGGGCGUAAAGCGCGCGCAGGCGGUCUCUUAAGUCUGAUGUGAAAGCCCACGGCUCAACCGUGGAGGGUCAUUGGAAACUGGGAGACUUGAGUGCAGGAGAGGAAAGCGGAAUUCCACGUGUAGCGGUGAAAUGCGUAGAGAUGUGGAGGAACACCAGUGGCGAAGGCGGCUUUCUGGCCUGUAACUGACGCUGAGGCGCGAAAGCGUGGGGAGCAAAC
RNAcentral lists this ribosomal RNA (426 nucleotides) under uncultured bacterium. Its description in RNAcentral is "bacterial SSU rRNA". It matches the Rfam family "Bacterial small subunit ribosomal RNA", at positions 356 to 773 of the family's 1533-position model. The record is from RNAcentral.